RNAcentral lists this small nuclear RNA (107 nucleotides) under Phocoena sinus (vaquita). The record is from RNAcentral. RNAcentral also lists the same sequence under 1 other name. Lineage: Eukaryota; Metazoa; Chordata; Mammalia; Artiodactyla; Phocoenidae.
GUUCUCACUUCAGCAGCACACAUACUAAAAUUGCAAAGAUACAGGGAAGAUUAACAUGGCCCCUGUGCAAGGAUGACACUAAACUUUGUGAAGCAUUCCAUAUUUUU